This 465-nucleotide ribosomal RNA is filed under the name uncultured bacterium. RNAcentral describes it as "partial 16S ribosomal RNA". It matches the Rfam family "Bacterial small subunit ribosomal RNA", at positions 339 to 795 of the family's 1533-position model. The record is from RNAcentral.
CUACGGGUUGCAGCAGUGGGGAAUAUUGGACAAUGGGGGAAACCCUGAUCCAGCAAUGCCGCGUGUGUGAAGAAGGCCUGCGGGUUGUAAAGCACUUUCGGUUGGGAGGACUGCUUCUAGCACUAAUAUUGUUGGAAGUUGACGUUACCUUCAGAAGAAGCACCGGCUAACUCCGUGCCAGCGGCCGCGGGAAUACGGAGGGUGCAAGCGUUAAUCGGAAUUACUGGGCGUAAAGCGCGCGUAGGCGGCUAGAUCAGUCGGGUGUGAAAGCCCCGGGCUUAACCUGGGAACUGCAUCCGAUACUGUCUAGCUUGAGUACAGGAGAGGAGAGUGGAAUUCCACAUGUAGCGGUGAAAUGCGUAGAUAUGUGGAGGAACACCAAUGGCGAAGGCAGCUCUCUGGCCUGAUACUGACGCUGAGGUGCGAAAGCGUGGGGAGCAAACAGGAUUAGAUACCCGGGUAGUC